RNAcentral lists this long non-coding RNA (20055 nucleotides) under Nicotiana benthamiana. RNAcentral's name for it is "long non-coding RNA (NBEN_LNC035072)". Lineage: Eukaryota; Viridiplantae; Streptophyta; Magnoliopsida; Solanales; Solanaceae. The record is from RNAcentral.
UUCCAGUACAUUCCAUAUAGAGAUCCUGCCUUAGAUCCUGCAUUUUUCAUAAAAAAUCAUGUCUUAGAUUCUGCGUGUAUUUCAUAUACAAAACCUGCCUACAAGACUACAUAACCUUUGCAUUCUCGCAUUUAGAAAAUCUGCCUAUGGGACGCUUUUACAAUUCUGCAUUUCAGCAUCUAGAAAGCAUUCUUAUAGGUCUUUCAUCAUUCCUGCAUGUAUACACCUCAAGUCAAACAACUUUAGGCUUAAUAAUAACAAACUAAUUUAGAGAUCAUGCCUAUAGGAUUAUUGCAACUGUUAAAAUCAACAACACUUAGAAACCAUGUAUGUAGAUCAAUUAACUGAAUCAACCUCGUUUUUGAAUCUAAAACCCAUCUUAAAAUUUGCAAAUCCCUUCUUCUAAAAUUAGUAAAGGUUUUCCUUAAAAUAAGUAUACUUUUGCAUUAUUAGAUAUCAUGCCUAUAAGUUUCACAUAGGCAAGCUGGUAGGUAAUUGAUUAACUGUAUCAGUUUUGAUAACUACAUCUAGUCAAGGCUAAUUCGGACUCCUCAUCUGGAAAAUAUGUGUUAAUUCAUCCUUUCCUACACUUUGCUUAAUUAACGAGCCAAUCAGUAUUUGCAAGUCAUGCUAAACUAUUUGCUGCUGUGAGUGAGGAGGCCUACUAGAGCCUUAACUACUAUUUGCUCCCUUUUAGAUGCUAUUUGUUAUUGCCUGUUGCCUUGAUUCUUUAUCCUUUUAAAAUUCUGAAAAAUCCCCAACUGCUUCCCCUUUAGGAUUUGUAGUCUCAAUACCUCCGAGAUUGAUAUGAUUGGAGCAGGUAAUAGCAUGCAAUAAGUAACGAUACCAUUCCACACUUUAAUACCUUAACAGGGUGGGAAAGGUAGAUAUAGAUAUGAUGACUGGUGUUCUAAUAUCACGUGUGACCCCUCUUCCGAGGAGUGAUUGCUGGAAAUUGCAUUGAUGUGAUCCAUAUAAAUUAUAAACCUAGGACCCCUCCCCUUUUAUUUGCUUAUCUUGUAAAACUAUUCAAGUCUUUUAUAAAUUUCUGUCUCUUUACCUUUCUCAAGCUUCGAUUUUUUCGCAGUGUUGUAUGUGAACCCUUUCUAUUUGAGGCCUUAAUUGCCUAAUUGAUUAUGUGAAGUCACAAUAUGACAUGUUCGGGAACCACACUAGUGGAUCUUGAGGGGUGCCUAACACCUUCCCCUCGAGAUAAUUUCUAGCCCUUACCCAAACUUUGGUUCUUCAACUCAAACCCUUUAUAGUGUCCUAAUGCACUUAAGUAUUAGGUGACGGCUCUUCAAAUGCAAACCAAAUUCCCAAAGGGAACAAGUUGUCCUCCCAAAAUGUCAUAAACCCGAUUUCGCGAGAAAAAGGAGGCAUCGACCGAGUGGCGAUGCUUCUAGGAUUUUUCUUUAGGCUUUUACCAUUUCAUGUUAUUUGUGACUUUGCUGCUUCAUUAUUGCUUUUAUUUAAUGUCUUUAUCCCUCUUCUACUUUGAAACUGACUUGGUUUUUGUUUCUUUUUCUUCAAUGCUUUCAUUUACCGCUUCCCUUCAAUACUGUGGUAAUUAUGAGCAAUUAUUGUAAUUAUUACUGUAGGAACGUGCAAAUACGUGAGAACUUGCUUCAUUCUUGUAAUUGCAUCUUCAACAACAUAUUCCAGUCGUGCCAAACACAAUACCAUAGCAAUGAUUAUAAUGAGUGGUUGCGCUCUUCCAAUAUUAUCAUCCCCUAAAUUUGGCAAUGGCAUAUUUGCGGUAAAACAUGUUGAUCAGCAGUGCAGUCGAUGGCUCCGUUCCUUUUCCUCUUGAGUUGUCCGCUCAAGGGUACUGGUAUAAUACCCCAUAGAAACUAUACUCUAUUUAACAGUGCAUGCAUCAUGGUCAAACCUAGCCAAGUCAGUUAUGUUGUCCACAUAAUGACUCUUUAAGAUAGCCUUGUCCAAAGUACAUUGGGUUCCCUUGGAACCCAAACAGACACUACCACAUCUGUGCAUUUAUUUAGAGAACUAAAUGCUGCUUAUGCUAAUUAUUGAUUUAAUAGUCGAGUCUAGCUGGGGAUAAGUGACUAACACUUUAUUUUGCAGAAAAUGAGGCACAAAGUCCUCAGAUUCAGCAUGGUAACCAAUAUUCACCCAAGGUUGCUAAGCUGGUGGGAAGACCUUCACUCUAGUGAUUAGACUCUCGUCCACAAAUAUUUGGGAAAUUUACCUUCUCUUUUGGAAAUCCAAUCGGACAACAAAACCAUAGAGGCUUCAACUUUAUUAUGGUAUAAAGACCAAUUUGUGUUUUGCUUUGGGAACCUUGAAACGAUACCUCUGCUCAAGGAAAUAUGAGGGUUAGCCGGUAUCCCUUGGGAGACUCCGUGUUUGCUUAUGCCACAAAAUCGCAAGGGUAGGGGUUUUCUCAAGAUGAUGGGACUAAAGAAAAACCCAGGCUUGACCUAUUUGAAGGACUCUUACAUUCCUUUCGACUAUCUGUACAAGAGGUACGGCCAUAGCAAGUCCUACUGCACUUACCUAGAUGAAUUUGCCCUCACCUCAUUGGGGCAUAUCCAUAUGAUAGUCUUCGUCUUUAUGUUCUGCAUUUUGGGGGUGAUAGUAUUUCCUAUGAAGAAGGCUAGGAUCUAUACCAGACAAACCAUGGUCGCCAAGACUCUAAUAGAAGGGAUUGGCGGGCAACCUUUCAGCAUAGGACCAAUGAUUGUCACAGAGAUAUACCGAGCCCUAAAAAACUAUCAUCAAGGGGCCAAUAACUUUGAGGGUUGUAACUUACUACUCCAACUUUGGCUCAUGGAGCACCUCCAAAAGGGUGAAUAUUGGCAAGAGAUUUUGCGCAGAGAGUGGGAUGAUCAUGUCGACUUCCUUCGGCCCAGUAGAAUGAACUAUAUGCCUAACAUGUUUUCUCAACCAGGAGAUGCUAAAGGGUGGGUAGAGUUUUUCGAAAAUCUGAAGGAAGACCAAGUGAAGUGGAUGUUUGAGUGGUUCCCUACUGAAGAGUUCAUCACUCGAUCUUCGGAUGCACCAUUUCUUAUACUCAUUAGUCUAAGGGGAACUUAUCCUUAUGUUCCUCUCCGAGUUAUGAGGCAGGUAGGGAGAAAGCAGGUUAUACCAAGGGUCGAUAAGAUGAGUCACUUUAGGGCCGACAUUCAAGAUGACGAUAGCCCUCACAACUGCCAGGCUCAACACAUGUGGCACUGAAAAAUCAUCCUGGGAAAGGAUUCCAUAGAACCAGACAGGUACCAUGCUGGUUAUACCCCAUACUAUCCAAGUUGGUUGGAAGAUGAUCACAGUGGGUUAGGAAAACCCGGGUUUGUUUGAGAUCAUAGGGUCAUAGAUGAAAAGACUGAAGUAUAUGUUAAGUACAACCAAUUGUGCAGGAGGAUUCGAGAGUGCAAAAGCAAACAUAGGGAAAUUCAAGAAGCACAUCCGAAGUUGAUUGAAGAAUGGAAAGAUAUGGUUGUCGGCGCCAAUAAGGGACAGGGAUAUUUGGAGCGGGGUUUAGUAGAGUUAGAAAGGAAGUUCAUCUAGAGGAUUGAAAACGGCCAUCAUGCUUAUGGAAAUGAAUGAGGACACUUGGCUAGAGCUUAUUUGCUGCUUGGACUGUGUGAAGUUGUUCGAUGGAGCUAAAGAUGCCGAGUCUGGGGAAGGUCCUUUUGGGACCAAGUAGUUAGGAGUCUUUUAUUUUGCUUUAAAAUGUAAUAAGACCAUUAGUGGCAGUUUGCUUUAUACUAUUUUAGUGUCGUUUAGGGAUUCGUCUUACUUUUAUCAAUAAAAUGAGGCACUUAGCGUUAUAAGUUCUCCAAAAUAACUUGUCGCUAGGCCUACUUGGGGCACAACGAGGCUCCUAAAUUAGGAUACAAUUUAUAUUCUUGCACUAAGUGUUUAAAUAUUGCAACAUUUUCUUCUCAUAAUCCGCGCUAACUUGUUACCUUGUUUUGGUUUUUCUUUUGUUUUAUUUCCCUCCCCAAAAGGUUAGUUCAUGCACUCUAGCAUCAUAAUACUACUCCACAAGAUCCAAGGGCCCUCCACCUCCUCCAUCUCCGAGUCCUACCAGAAAAAAAUAGAUAGAAAAUGGAAGAUUUAAACAACUCAGCCGAAAGGGUAGAUGUUCCUCAGAGUAUUUAGAUUUCCAAAGAAAGUGCCGCCCAGCUCGAACACAAGUUAUUGAAAUUUCAGGAAGAACUGGACCAAGUUCGGCACUUAGCUAAUUUAUCAUUUUCCCUCACUACCCCAGAUGUAAACUUUCUCAAUGCUCAAAAUCCUACACCUACACAACACUGCAACACAUGUCACAAUUCAAAUAACACCCCACUACUCAUUCGCAAAACACUAAAAUCAACAAAUGAUAAACCCCACAACACCCCAUCUAUGUGGAAACCAUACCACACUAUACUCAACUUAUUUCAAGCACAACAGAGUCUGAUGAAAAAGACUCUCUUAUCAGGAAGUUAGCCGCAGAACUCAAGAAGCUGACUAGCCGAUUCCAGGGUGUUGAAGGAAACAAAGGUAUCGAGGGUCUAAAUUACGAGGACCUUUGUAUUUAGCCAGAUUUCGAACUCUCGGAGUCGUACAAACCUCCCAAGUUCUAGAUGUUUGAUGGCACAGGGGAUCCGAGAGUUCAUUUGAGAACCUGCUGCGACAAGCUGGUUGGGUAUGAAAAGAUUUGCAUGAAGCUCUUUAUGAGAAGUCUGAAAGGGGAUGCUCUAUCUUGGUACAUCAGCCAAGACCCCAAGAAGUGGACAAACUGGGUAAGAAUUUCGUCCGAUUUCAUGAGCAGGUUCUGAUUUAAUACGGAGAACGCGCCACAUGCAUUCUACAUCAAGAAUGUGAAGAAGAAACCUAUACAGACAUUCUGCCAGUAUGCUACUCGUUGGAGAUUAGCGGCUUCUAAGGUCAGGCCGACCUUAGAAGAAGGACAGAUAAGCAAGUUUUUAGUCCGAGCUUAGGACCCAUAAUAUUUUGAGAGGUUGAUGCUGAUUGAAGGCAAGAAAUUCUUCGAUAUCAUCAAGCUAGGAGAAAGGAUCGAGGAAGGCAUUAAAAGUUGUAUGGAAACUAACUUUGAAUCAUUGUAGGCCACCAACAAGGCUCUACAGUCUGGUGGCGCAUACAAGAAAAGGGAUGUGAGUGCCGUGUAGUUGCAUAGAGAACAAAAUCCCCAAAAAAAUACCAAACCUACCCAAUAUCACCUCUAACAUAUCAAGCUACCCCUAGUUACCAAGCAUACUCUGUCACACCUCCACUGUACACCCCCGCAAAAGGGCGUAAAGGAGUUUUUCCAAUUAAAGGACAAUCAUAACAGGAUUUAUUAUUAAGAUUCAGAGUCACCACUUGGGAGAUUAAUGGUGUCCCAAGUCACCGGUUGAAUCCCGAACCGAGGAAACAGAUGACUCUGUUCACAAUGUGCAAACCACAAAUCCAGAUAAGGAAUUAUGUUAACCCGAGAGAAGGUGUUAGUGCAUUCCCGGGUUUCGUGGUUCUAGCACGGUCGCUCAACUGUUGCACUUAGCUUUUAUUUGAUUUUAUUACAUGAAGAGCCUAUGUGACAAUUUUACUUUUUACCACUUUUAUUUAAUAUAUAUUUAUUUGAGAGAGUGAACGUUGUUUAAAGCGUGUUUUUGGAUUGCGCCGCAUUAAAUGAACCUGCAAUCCUAAACACACUCUAUUCAACGUUAUAGGAUUUGAAUUUGGGCCACAUAAAAUGCCCACCCUUAUUUAGGAAUGUAAUUUAUUAAAGACGCGUCUAAUAGAGUCUAACGUGUUGUAAUCUUUUGGGAGGGCCGUGAAAUUCAUUAAAUGGUCCUUCACGAUUAUCUAAAUAUCUUUUAGACCUUUAUUGAGGGCGCCACAAUUUUGUACUUUUCUUGUGCGAGGCUCAUCUCAUUUAUUUUAAAAGUAUAAACCUAAAGGUAACUAUAUUUUCUAUUUUUUUAAUUUUUAUUUCUAAUAAAGAAAGAAGGAUCCUAAAUGAUUAUAUUAAAAUCCAAGCCUUAAGUUCAAGUCCGGAUAAAAAAAAAAGGGCGGACAUUUUAGUUUAACAUCCGCUACCUAACUCAAAGCCCAAAAUUAGCCAAUUAUUUACUAAUGAAUCAAUUGCCAUUUCAUCUUCGGGACAUGAAAUUCCCACACCAUAUCAUGUACGCCAGCCCAUGGAUCUUGGCCACAUAGGAAGGGUUUUGUACUAAUCCAUAUCAAACCACCUGGAAGUCGAGGGUCGAACCUUCCCCAGCAUUGGCGUCCAAGACAUUAUUCAUCUAUUUUUUCCCAGACUUGGGCCUGCACGCCUCAAAUUGGCCAACACUGGACCAGUCCUUUAAUUCCAAUCCACGAGGAUCCAAUCAGUGUUAACAAUGCAACAAUAUGGAGAAGCUAAUGAUUUAAACUUGAAUGUGACAGCGUAUUUUAAGCAAUUUAAAGAACGAUUCACUACCCACUAGUGAUUAUGAACCUAAUUUCUUAAUCAAUCUCAUAUUAGCUAGAAAUUCACACUCAAUUACCUAUUGAUUUCAAUAUUAUUUACAUGAAAUUAAAUUAAUUCAUGAAAUGACUAGGAAUAUCUUUUGACUUAAAAUCAAAAUCUCGAUAAUGUAAGUUAAAAGCAAGCAAUUUCUAAUUACCAAUUCCUGUUAACAAAUUGAACUACUUGUGAAAAUAAACUAUUGUUUGUUGAAACUAAACUAAACCAGAGCAAUAGUUAGCUGCUAACCACAAUCCAGGCAAUAUUUCUAAAAAAACAAACAGUCCUGAAUAUUUCGAAUUAACAAACAACACUAGAUUUCUAGUGGAUAGACUAUUUUAUACAUCAAAAUUAAAACAACAAUGAAAUAUAUUCAGAGAACAACUCCAAUAGCCUUUUACUUCAUUUCCAUAAGCUUGAGAUCUACAAGUGUGUACCUGGUAGAGGAAUUUAAUAGAAGAAGAAGAAGGUCAGCCUCAGCAGGUAGCAAAUCAACAGGUAACAACCAGCCACAAUAAGAGUGAUUUUCGAAUCAAAACCUAGUUUCAAAGCCCUAGGAAUGAACUCAAAAGUUCAAUUGAAAUUUCAGCACUCAACCACAACCCACAUGAACUCGAAAUAAUAGACCAAAACAAACCUCGAACCUCAGCACCCAAAACAAAAACAAAAUGAACUCGAAUUCAAAUGCAAACAGCUUCUAAUUCUCAGCUACCCUUUGUUGAAUCAAAGGAUCGAAUUACACUACUCAAACUUGAAAUUAAGCUAAAAUGACCAAUAGAACAGUGACUUUGUUUUGGUUUUCUAUUGUUUUUGAUUUUUUUGUUUUCCUUUUGUAGAAUGCUAAGAUCUAAGGGAUUUCAGAUAUGAAAAUGUUAAUUCAGAUCUUGAAUAUUGGGGAAUACUUUAUGCAAAAAAGUUUAGGCUACCAAACUUGAUGGCUAAGGCAUUAUUCAUAUCUUUUUAUUGGCCAAAAGAGGGCAGUCCCUUAAAACUCUUAUUUACCCUAUUAGUCCUUCUUUUUUAUUGAGUUAGUUCCUUAGUUAUUAACUUGUUACCCAAGCUAGUAUCCUAAAUUUUCUAAAAUCUAACUUGAACCCCAUUCUAGAAGAUUCUAAGGUGUUCUAUUCCAAUCUACAUCAUUCCAUCCUAUUACUAAAGCCUAAAAUACCCCUGAGCUUAAUACUAAAUUGCAGCUAUAACCAAACAAUACCUAAACUCUGAAUUUACCAACUACUGAAGAAAACUCCUGUUAACCCACCAACUGAAUCACAUUAACACUACCUUAUGGAAUCGUGAAUUAACUACUCUAUAUUGUUAAACCAAAUUGAAAAGAAAACAAACACAAGCUCAUCUCAACAAAAUUAAUAGCCAAAAGGAAAACGACCAAAAUUAUUAGACAGGAAAAAAUGGAAUCAACCAUAAAUAAAGCUAAAAAUGGGUGCCUAUGAUUGAAAUCCAAUUACUAUCUACAUGGCCAAGGAAUUCGGUCAAAAGGGAGCGACGGAGGGGGACAUAAUUUGACUAUUGAACAGAAAUAAGAAGAAGAUUGAAAUGAGACAAAUUGACAGAAGAAAUGAAAUAAACAAAAGAGAGAGAGAGACUCAUCAGCUUGACUCGAAUAUCCACCUCGAAUUUCUGCUACAAAACCCAACUUGAUGACAGUCAUCCAUUCCCCGUCAAGAAAACGUGCAAACGAUGUGCCCGGACAUGUAAAAGACCUCAUAAGAACGACUUCACUCAGACCUCCGAUUCUUUUGAUUUCGAGCCGCAAUUGGUAUUUAUCACAGGUUCUUGUCAAGAACCAAUAUGAAACAACAAUUACUGCUCUUAACCAGUCAUUGAAGCUUGCAAAUUUGGGAAACUUUGUCUACUGUUUCCAAUUUUGUUUCGAAGAAAAGGAGUGGUUCUUAAAAAAAAAACAAAUCAUGUAUAUGGAAUGGGGACAUGAAGAUGGUUGUUUGGUCAAGUUUUCAAGCAGUUUGGAGGUAGAUCGUCGCCGCAUGGCGACUUCCGGUAGUGGUGACAGGCGGUGAGGAAUGAGAAACGAAGGUGAUGAUAGUCUUAGGUUCUUCAGACAAUUGUAAUAAGAUAGUGAAUGUGAUUGGGGCCCUUGGAUGAGAAAGAAUGGAGGGACAAGAUUAAAAGAUCACUUACUAAACCCAAAACGAAGUCAUUUUUGCUAGUAAGACUUGGACUGGGUUGAAGAUAAAGAAUCUGGGCUGGCCGGCGGAUCAAUGGCCCAACUUUGGCCCUUUUAUAAGACUACUUCUUUUAACUUUGUUUUUUUCUUCUUCUUUUUUUUUUCUUUUAAUUCUUUUCUUUUUAUACAAUUUGUUUUUCGUAUUUUUCUGAUUUUAUAAAAGUGCAAAAAUAAAACUAAAGUUCUAAUACAUUUCAAAGCUACACAAAUUAACUCCUAAAAUUGUUUAAAACUAUUUCACGACAAAUUCUCAAUUAAAAUGCGAAAGUGAACUAUUUUUGUGAUUUUUCAUGCUUUGUUCUAAAAUAAAUUAAUCUCUAAUUAAUACUAAAAUAUGAAAUUAAAUCUUAAAUACAUAUUAUUUGUAUUUUCAUAUGAAUUAUCAUGCACAAAUAAAAUACAAAUAACACAAAAAUUUGUAAAAAUAAGGAAAAAUAUUUUUGUUUGUAUUUUGUGGGAACAAUUGUCAUAUACGGCAAAAACCACGUGCUCACAACUUCCCCACUUUGCUUGGAAACGUGAAAAGUUUUCGGGCAAAGAUAAGUGAGCAAAUACGAACGAUUUUUGCCUAUUUGAAAAUUUUGCAUGAAGCAUUUUGCAAAAGUUUUGACCGCAUCCUGCUUCAGAGGUUGCCUACAUAUCCUUGGCUAAACAGGAAUUAGGUCAGUGUAGCUCGGGAGUGUCUGGUAGCUGGGACUACCAGGAGCUGUAAUUUCACUGCAAUUGCUGCUGCUACUGCUCGCUGACCUUCCUUAUUACAUCGUGUCAAAAAUAAAGAUGCUAGCAUAAGCUAUGAAAUAUGGAUUAAAAAAGUCCUAUCUAGAAUCUUCAAACUUGCAUCUUGUACUUCCUUGUUGUCUUGUUAUCUUGUGUUUCCUUGUUGGAAUCCAUUGCCGUUACUUCAACUUGCUAACUGAGAUGUUGUUCCUUCUCUCCACCUUGCUGAACUUGUAUAAACUUGAACUGGAAUGUAUUCCUCUAUUAUCCAGGAGGGCUCCUGACUUCACAAAAAUACACAAAAAACAAAGAGAACUUUCUACUCCAGUUUGGAAAACUGGGUGCUUGUUACCAUAUAUUAUUAGAAAUUGAAAACUUGAAUUAUGAUAAUACUGAAAUGUAACUGUAAAAUUUAAAGAGUGAAAUAUAUUCCUAUAUUAUCCAGGCGGGCUCCUGACCUCAAAACAUGAAAUUUUAAAGACUGAGAUGUUUCAAAAACUUCAAAUUCAAAGACUGAAAUGUAUUCCUCAGUUAUCCAGGCGGGCUCCUGACUUCACAAAAUAAACAAAACAAAGAAACUUUCUCCCCAAUUUGGAAAACUAGGCUCCGGAUACUAAUACGAAUUCGAAAACUAAAACUUGAAUUGUGAUACCUCUGUUCUCUAGGCGGGCUCCUGACUUCAAACUUGAAUGUAUUCCCUUGUUAUGCGGGUGGGCUCCCGACCUCUAAAUUUGAACUUGAAUGUGUUCCCUUGUUAUGCGGGUGGACUCCCACCUCUGAAUUUGGACUUGAAUGUAUUCUCUUGUUGUCCGGGUGGGCUCCCGACCUCUGAAUUUGAACUUGAAUGUAUUCCCUUGUUAUGCGGGGGUGGGCUCUCGACCUCUGAAUUUGAACUUGAAUGUAUUCCCUUGUAGUCCGGGUGGGCUCUCGAUUUCUGAAUUUGAAUUUGAAUAUAUUCCCUUGUUAUGCGGGUGGGCUCCCGAUCUCUGAAUUGGAACUUGAAUGUAUUCCCUUGAUAUCUGGGUGGGCUCUCGACUUCUUAAUUUGAACUUGAAUAUAUUCCCUUGUUAUGUGAGUGGGCUCCCGACCUCUGAAUUUGGAGUUGAAUGUAUUCCGUUGUUAUCCGAGUAGGCUCCUGACCUCUGAAUUUGAAAUUGAAUGUAUUCCCUUGUUAUGCGGGUGGGCUCCCGGCCUUUGAAUUUGGACUUGAAUGUAUUCCCUUGUUGUCCAGGUGGGCUCCCGACUUCAUAAAAAUAGACAAAAUAAAGAAAGAUUUACGCCCCAGUUUUGAAACUGGGUACAUGUUACUAGGCAUUUAAUAAGAAUUGAACACUAAAACUCUAAUUGUAAUACCUCAGUUUUUCAGGCGGGCUCGUGAUCUCAAAGUUUGAAAAUGUAUUCCUCCAAAAUCUAGGCGGGCUCCUGAUUUCACAAUAACAUACAAAAAUAAGAAUAAUUUGCUACCCCAGUUUGGUAGCUGGGCACGUGGGUGACUAUUACUGAAUCAUAAACCAACUAUUACUAUGAAUUUGAAAGCUAAGUCCUAUUAUCCAGGGGGUGGAGGGUCCUGAAAAUUCCUACCAAUUAUGAACCAGAUUUAUAUUUUCUAAAGGUAUUUCUCCCACUACACUAUGCCAUUUAAAAGGUUUUGAACUACAUCCUAUUAUUCCGGAAGGUCUUGACCGCUCCUACUUGAAUUCUAUCAUAAACAUGCUAACUUUCAUUCCCCGUGUUAUUCCUGAAUAUUCUUGUAUUUCAAUCACACCAUACUUUGCGGUCGAACUUGAUUACUGCUUGUUUUUCCUUUAUGGAGAAUUCCUCCUGAAUAAACAACUUUUCUGCCCCUGUUUCAAUAAGAAAAAAUUUCUUCAGUUUAAAAUGGUGGUUAGUUGAUGGCAUUCUUGCUAAAUAUCCUUCCACCUCAUUGCUUUGCAUUGAGUGGAUUCCUCGAACUGACCUUGAACCGCUUGAACUUCUGCCCAACUUUCAACCUCUGACUUGUUACAACCCGAAUGUUCUGUACCCACGCUAUUGUUUCACCUUUCUGACCCCUUUAUCUAAACCUUUGCAUUUCCCAUGAUAGUUCCCCAGUCACCCCACCAAUGAAACAUUCCGGUAAUUUCCUACAUUCCUCCUUACAUCAUGUUAUCCUUGGCGUACUCCGACCACACUAUGUUUUACAAUUUCGAAAGCUGGUAGUGAGCUUAAAAAUUCCUUCCCGGUUGCUUUGAAUCAAGACUGACAUAGAAACAUAUUAUACAGAUAAAACCCCUCAAAAGAAAAUGAAAUGCAAUGAUUUUACGAGUUAGGUAUAAAAAGAAUCCCAAACCAAAUAGCUGUUAAAAGGGAAAAAGAAAAGAAACUUAUCUGACCGGAACAGCUGGCACCAAGGAUCAUGACAUACAUUUCGGAAUAAUCGGCCCAACCUGUCCAACUAACCAGCUCUCAGUUUCCAUAACUCAUUGCCCUGAACUUCCAUCACUUGUUUACUUCAAUCAAACCUUAUCAAUUUUUAUCCUACAGUGCCUUGAAACCAUUUUCACUCACAGACCUUUCACAGUUUUCUAUUUCUCAUCUCAGUUUCUCCUUAAGGUUCCCGUGAAGGUUUUCUCGACUAAGACUCUCUCAUUUUAUUUUCUCUCGGCUUCUGUCGCCAUACGGUGGCCAUGAGGGUUUUCACCAAUAAGACUCUCUCAUUUUUAUCUUUUGUUCUUUUGAACCAGAGUGUUAUCACUGCCACAAAUUACCGCUACCUGCUCGACUUGGCAUUUACCAAAAACUGAUCAGAAGGUCUUCCUUUGGACUGUAAUGUGGGUUUUCGGAUAAGGUUAGAAAGAAAUGAUAUAAAGGCUCGAAACUAUUUCAAAAUAGGUUAAAACUAAAACUUUCAGAAUUCGAUUUCUUUCAACAAUCACAACUUCUGCCCAGUUUCUUGCUUGGGGGCUUUUGGAAUUUUAUUUUGGUAUGACUGAACCGCAGAGAGGCUGCCUACGUACCCUUUGGGGAUCAAGUCAAACGUAGUUCACUUAAUAGAAUUUACUUUGUUGUGAAUUUCUUUUAUGUUCUUUUCCUUUCACUUUUCGUUUCUUUCCUUUUCUUUUCUUUUCUUUUCUUUUCUUUUUCUUUUGUUUCUUUUCCAAUUUUAUUUUAUUUUUUCCUUCUUUUCUCUUUUCUUCCUUUUUUUUCCUUUUCUUCCUUCUUUCCUUUUAUGUACUCGUCUUUGGCACUUGCGUUUCUUAAUUGUGCCAUUGAUUCUGAAAGAGGGGUACGAAAGAAAAUAAGUACGACUCAAAAUGGGUGACAAAUGAUAAAGUGUUUCAGAUAGCAAAACGAAACGCUUUCAUCAUUUCAAUCAUAAAAAUAUACCAAAUACAAAACUAGUACAAUCAGAAUAAAGGAAAUAUACAGAGUACCUCUUGACCAUAUCAGAAUUGAUUGUAAUUUCUACAUAUUUUCCUUCCACAUCUGUUAGAUAUAAUGUACUGCUAGACAACACUCUGGUUACCACAAAUGGCCCCUGCCAGUUUUGAUCAGAUUUUCCUUUUGCUUCAGCCUGAUGAGGCAAGAUACGUCUCAACAAUAAUUGUCCCAUUUCAAGUUUCCUCGGACGCAUUUUCUUGUUGUACGCUUCUGCCAUUUUGUUGGUACAAUUGGUCGUGACGUAGUGAUACUAAUUCUUAAAUCUAACUGUUCAAGGCGGGUGAAAUCGUCAUCAUGUUCCAAAUCAUUACCACACUCGAUUUAUUGUAUUAUUAUUCAUAAUAAGGCCGAUUUCAAGACUAGGCCGAAGAUUCCUCGUGCAUGUCAUGUUAUUGAUAUCAACAUAAAAAUAACUGUAUAGAGAGGAAAAAUAAACUAAAACAAAAUUAAGAAGAAGGAAAGACAAUUGCAUUCCAUUGAAGGAAAAGAUAACAGGGGUUUAACUCAUGCAAAUGGACGGAACAUAGUAUCUAGACUACAGACCCUGGAAUAAUCCAGAUAGUUUAAAGAAAAACAAAACCCACUACCAAAACUUCCAAUCAUUGACUUUUGCCCGUGGUAAGGCGAACUGCGCAUUUGCUUGCUUUCCCCUUCCUUUGCUUCAACCAUAUUUACCUUGGUAAAUAACCUUUUGAACCCAUUUCCACGUUUCCAUCCACACCACUCAAUAACCUAAGAACCUUUGGCGACAGCGGCUUAUUAUCCACCCCUUUCAACUGGACCACCAUUUUCUCACUUGUCGACUUUUCGUUCAAAUUGGUUUUGCUAGAACGGAUUACCGUCUACGAAGGUUUCUUAGUUUUUCCUCAUUUAUGCGUCAAGUCUAUCAUAUGAGCCUCAUGGUGAGCUGGCAGCGGAUUCUGGUCAGUGUUUGGUGCCUUUGGGUGCUGAACCUUGAUCCUGUUUGUGUCAAUAAGCUCCUGCACAGCAGUUUUCAACCUCCAACAUUUAUCAGCGUCAUGUCCGGGGGCUCCUGAACAGUAUUCACAGCUCACAGAGUGAUCCAAAUUUUUAUGAAGGGGAUUUGGCGUCUUGACUUCAACCGGGGUCAGCAAGCCUAACUGCCUCAGUUUGUGGAAAAGAGUGGUAUAGGAUUCUCCCAGCGGAGUGAAUGUUUUUUUGUUCUGGACUCAUUUCUAAAAGCUUAGUUUGGGCGGAAGCCGGAUCCUGGUUUGUAAUCCCUUGGGUAUGGAUAUAUGUUUUGUGGAGCUAGAUAUGUGCUUUUGGGAACCGGUGCACGCCACUGCGGGUGAGCCGGAAGCUGGGUGUCUGUUUGGGCGUGGUGGACGGAAACGUGUGGCUCUGGUGGUGGAUUGUAGGGUUGUGGAGGGCCGUAUGAGGUAUAUGGAUAAUAACAGUAUUCAAAGCUCACCGAGUGGUCCAGAUUUCUACGAAGGGAAUUUGGUGUUUUGAGUUCAACUAGGGUCAGCAAGCCUAACCGCCUCAGUUUGUGGAAAAGAGUGGCAUAGGAUUCUCCCAGCAGAGUAAAUACCUUUUUUGUUCUGGACCCACCAUCUCAUUUCUAAAAUCUUGGUUUGGACGGAAGCCGGAUAUGCGCAUUAGGGAAUCGGUGCACGCCAUUGCGGGUGAGCCGGAGGCUGGGUGUAUGUUUGGGCGUGGUGGAAGGAAAAAAUGUGGCUCUGGUGGUGGAGGUUCGUAUGAGGUAUAUGGGUAAUUUGGGUGAUGGGGUCUAGGUUGGUUAUAGUAGAGUGGAGGGUUUCUGAACGGGGACUAAGUACUCGCUUCUACUGUUGCAACUUCUUCUUUCUUUUUCUUUAUGAGAACACCACCAGUGCCGCCUUGGAUAGACUGGGUGGUGGCUUUAAGUACGGAAUAGCUUACGAUCUUGUUUGAUUUCAUUGCUUCCUCAAUUAUUGUCCCCAUCUUUACCACUUCAUUGAACGACUUGCCAACUGAUGUUACCAAGUGACCAAAGUACGUGGGUUCCAAGGUCUGCAAAAAGUAAUCUAUCAUUUCUUUUUCCCUCAUUGGAGGAUCAAAUCUCGUGGCCUGCUCCCUCCAACGGAAACCAAACUCUAUAAUACUCUUCCCUGGCUUUUUCUCAAGUUUCGACAAUGACAGACGGUCGGGGACUAUCUCACGGUUAUACUGAAAGUGGCCGAUGAAUGCUUGUGCCAAGUCAUCCCAUGUAUACCAUCUUCUGGGAUCAUGUCUCGUGUACCAUUCCAGCGCAGACCCGAUCAAGCUUUGACCGAAAUAGGCUAUCAACAAUUCAUCCUCCCCCCAGCACCUCUCAUCUUACUACAAAAGCCACACAAAUGGGCUACUGGGUCAUCGUUCCCCUCACACAAGUCAAACAUUGGCAUUUUAAACCCCGCAUGCAACUGAAGAUCGGGAAAUGGACAUAGGUCUUUGUAUGCCAUGCUGACUUUUCUGCCUAAACCAUGCAUGUUCCUAAAAGAUAUCUCCAGGCUUUUGACUUUACGAAUUACUUCCUCUUGUUAUGCAUUCUUAACUGGCUUCUCAACUUCUUCGGGGAUCUCAAAAUGAGGGGUAUAGGUGUACGACUUAGGAGCUUUAAAAAGUGGGUUCAGGAGGGUAAUACUGAGCAUCGUGAGCUUGGAAUAGUGGCUCACCAGAUGAUCUUUGUAAUGUGGCUGGAGAAGGUGCCACAAAGAUUGGAGCCAAAGGUGGAAGAGGGUUCUAUUUGGGUGGUAGAGCUGGAAGAAUGUAUGAAGUGGUAGCAUAGCCUUGGGUGUGAUAUGGGAAGGAUGGAGAUGUGUUAGGAGUAGGAGGCUCCUGAGACUGCACUAGAGGUGGGAUAUAAGACAGGUUGGUGGGGUACAAAGGUGCCAGGUGCCCCUGAGACCAAGCUUGGUACAUUUCAGCCAUCUGUGUUUUCAACUUCCUCAUCUCUUCUUUCAUGGUACCCACAUCAUUCACCUCGACCUCUUUUGUACGGUCCAAAAUACUAGAGUCAGAUUCCUGUCAUGUCAUCUUAUCUUUCUAUCGAGUGUUGUACGGGUGAGUUGCCAGAAUUGCCAAUCAACUAACCACCUGCCUGGACUCAACAUCAACAAUAGCUUGGUUAAUGGUUAGGACAUGAGAAGAUUUGAUAACCGCAUGUUGGGAAUGAAUGCACCUACACAGUUUAACGGAUUUUAUAUGCAUUUGCUCAACUGCUUGCGUCAUCCCGACUUUUUCCGUAUUUCUGAUUGCACAAUUUCUCUCUUUUCUUUUCUUCUCUUUUUUUUUCUCUUUGUUUUUGUUCUCGCCUUUGCCUUAUUUUAUCUUAUUCUCUCAUUCCCUCUUGUUUUGCUAUUGUCCCUUUUUGGUUUCUAUUUUCCCUCAUUUGUUUUCCUUUCCUCUUUUAUUUUUUACACUUUUUCUGUCAAUUUCUUUCUUGUUUUUCCUCUGUUUUCUUUUCUAUCUUUUUUCUGGUUUUUCCGCUCUUUUUUUCCUCUAUGUUUUGGUUAUGGUCAAAUCUUAUGUGGACUGCCUACGUAUCAUGACCCCGCAUGAAUCAGACCGGGCGUAGUUUGUAAGAAUAAAAGGUAAACGACUUUGGAAUUUUCAAUUUUUCAUAAUAAAACAAACUUUGACUAUAAAGGUUCUUUAAAAAAACUGACAAAGUAAAACUAAUAGCCUCUAAUGAAAAAAUAAAAGACAGACUCGAAAGUCAAACGACUUACAUACUCUAAUCCAAACAGUAUUCACUUGACCACUGACUCUUUUCAUAUUUUUCAAAUUAAAAUAAAAGACCUGAUUUGCAAACACGACCUUUCAGCGCCUCGGAGACUAAGAUUUUAAGGUGUGCGGGUCAACUGGCCAAAAUCUAAAAAAUGACCAAAUGGUGGCUGUUUAUGCAAAGUCAACCUCCGGCAUCCCUUUUGAGAACAAAACGUCAUUACCUUAUUUAUUUAUGAAAAAAUUAAAAUUUUAAUUCUUUUUGCAAAGGGGAUCUUGGACCCGAUGAGGGUUGCAUAUGUAUCUCACGCACUGUGAUGAUAAAACCAUGCGUAGUUCGGGCAGACUAACAGAACUAUAUUAAAACAAGACUCUUCUUCAUUUUUGUUUUUUCAUUUCAAGUAAAAUAAAGAAAACUAUUUUUAAAAAAAUAAGACUCUUUUUUUGUUCUUUUCCUUUUUCAACAAACAAUAAAAUAGCCUAAAGAUAAAAGACUCUUUUCUCUUUUUUUUCUCAUUUUAUAUGGCAAAACAAACUAUUUUUCCUUUUCUAUUUUUUGAAAACAAGACAAAACAACGACUCUUUUUUUCUUUUCAUAUUAAACAAAACGACCUAUUUUACUAAACUAAAAUAAAGACUCUUUUCUUUUUCCUUUUAACAACAAAGUGAAAUAUGUUUUUUCUUUUCUAACAACAAAGUGAAAUAUGUUUUUAACAACAAAGAGAAAUAUGUUUCGACAUUACUUGGGCAUUGGUUUUUCUAAAACAAGAAAUUAACUCUCCAACUGCUAUUUUUCUAUUUUCUAUUUCUUUUUUUCUUUUUUUCUUAAUUUUCUAACAUUCCCGAGAUUCAGAAGCCGGUUAACAUGCAAGCCGGAGCAAAUAAAUGCACAAAAAACAAGUAGGAUGCAUCAGGAUAGUCUUUCCAUUCCAGGUUGCUAGCCCUAGACAGACCCAACCCCUGUGUUGAGUCCCCUAAGUCAAAAUGCAUAUGAUGCAAAUAAGCGUUCCUACUAUGGAUCUGACAUGAGGUUAAGUUAUUCUAGGUUCAAAACCUGGGUGUUUGUUCUAGACCUGGCUUACCCGAGCGGACUGCUGGAGCCGAGAGGGAGGCGGCAAUCCAAAAAUACAGAAGCUUCGCCGGCUUUGAGACUUAUCCAAACCUCAUUCUAAAUUUGGAUUUGACACUAUACAUAAAAGAAGUCGUACGAAGUACCCCCUUCUUCACGAUUCAGAAGACUCAGAGAGUAGAUGGGUUUCGAUACAAUUUAUAUAUAGUUCACAUAAUAUCAAAGCAGUAAAAGGGAAAUCAAUUAGCACAUUAGGCACAUAUCAUGUAACAAAAUCAAACAAAUCCAAACACAACAAUUAUUCCAAGCUCGAAUUCUGAACCCUGAACCAGAGAUUCUAGGUUCUUUUCCCCAGCACAGUCGCUAGAGCCGUCACACCUCCUUUUUCACUGUACACCCCCGCAAAUGGCGUAAAGGCGUUUAUCUAAUUAAAGGACAAUCGGAAUGGGAUUUAUUAUUAAGAUUCAGAAUCGCCACUUGGGAGACUAAUGGUAUCCCAAGUCACCGGGUGAAUCCCGAACCGAGGAAAAAGAUGACUCUGUUCACAGUCUGCGAACCAGAAAUUCAGAUAAUGAAUUCUACAAACCUGGGAGAAGGUGUAGGUAUUCCCGGGUUCCGUGGUUCUAUCACGGUCGCUCAACUAUUGCACUUAGCUUUUAUUUGAUUUUAUUACAUGAAGAGCCUAUGUGCCAAUUUUACUUUCUACAGCUUUUAUUUAAUAAAUAUUUAUUUGAGAGAGUGAACGUUGUUUAAAGAGUGUUUUCGGAUUGCGCCGCAUCAAAUGAACCCGCAAUUCUAAGCAUACUCUAAUCAAUGCAUUUGGAUUUGGAUUUGGGACGCAUAAAAUGCCCACACGUAUUUAGGAAUGUAAUUCAUUAAAGCCGGGUCUAAUAGAGUCUAAUGCGUUGUAAUCUUUUGGGAGGACCGUGAAAUUCGGUAAACGGCCUUUUCCGAUUAUCUAAAUAUAUUUUAAACCUUUAUUGAGGGCCCCGCAAUUUUGUACUUUUCUUGUGCAAGGCUCGUCUCAUUUAUUUUAAAAGGAUAAACCUAAAGUUAACUAUAUUUUCUAUUUUCUUAUUUUUGUUUCUAAUAAAGAAAGAAGGAUCCUAAAUGAUUAUAUUAAAAUUCGAGCAUUAAGUUCAAGUCUGGGUCCAAACUAAAGGAUGAACAUAUUAGUUUAAUAUCCGCUGCCUAACUCAAAGCCCAAAUCUAGCAAAUUAUUUUCUAAAGAAUCAAUUUCCAUUUCACCUUCGGGCCAUGAAAGGCCCACACCAUAUCCUGUACGCCAGCCCAGCGAUCUUGGCCACAUAGGAAGGGGUUUGUACUAACCCAUAUCAAACCACCUGGAAGUCGAGGGGUCGAACCUUCCCUAGCAUUAGCGUCCAAGACAUUAUUCAUCUAUUUUUUCCCAGAAUGGGCCUGCACGCCUCAAAUUGGCCAACACUGGCCCAGUCCUUUAAUUCCAAUCCACGUGGAUACAAUCAGUGUUAACAAUGCAACAACAUGGAGAAGCUAAUGAUUUAAACUUGAAUGUGACAGCGUAUUUUAAGCAAUUUAAAGAACGAUUCACAACUCACUACUGAUCAUGAACCUAAUUUCUUAAUCAAUCCCAUAUUAGCUAGAAAUUCACACUCAAUUACCUAUUGAUUUCAAUAUUAUUUACAUGAAAUUAAAUUAAUUCAUGAAAUAACAAGGAACAUCUUUUGACUUAAAAUCAAAAUCUCGAUAAUGUAAGUUAAAAGCAAGUAAUUUCUAAUUACCAAUUCCUGUUAACAAAUUGAAGUACUUGUGAAAAUAAACUAUUGUUUGUUGAAACUAAACUAAACCAGAGCAAUAGUUAGCUUCUAACCACAAUCCAGGCUGUAUUUCUAAAAACAAACAGUCCAAAAUAGUUCCAAUUAACUAACAAUACGAGAUUUCAAGUGGAUAGACAAUUUUAUACAUCAAAAUUAAAAAAAAAAGCGAAAUAGAUUCAGAGAACAACUCAAAUAGCCUUUUACUUCAUUUCCAUAAGCUUGAGAUAUACAAAUGUGUACCCGAUAGAGGAAUUUAACAGAAGAAGAAGAAGAAGGCCAGCCUCAGCAGGUAGCAAAUCAACAGGUAAUAACCAGCCACAAUAAGAGUGAUUUUCGAAUCAAAACCUAGUUUCAAAGGCCCAGGAAUGAACUCAGGACUUCAAUGCAAUUUCAGCACUCAACCACACCCCACAUGAACUUGAAAUAACAGACCAAAACAAACCUCGAACCUCAGCACCCAAUACAUUAUAAAAUGAACUCGAAGUCAAAUGCAAACAGCUUCUAAUUUUCAGCUACCCUUUGUUGAAUCAAAAGAUCAAAUUACACUACAAAAACUUGAAAUUAAGCUAAAAUGACCAAUAGAACAGUGACUUUGUUUUGGUUUUCUGUUGUUUUUGAUUUUUUUUCUUUUCAUUUUGGAAAAUGCUAAGAUCGAAGGGAUUUCAGAUCUGAAAAUGUUAAAUUUCAG